GUAACAGGUCUUCGGAUGCUGACGAGUGGCGAACGGGUGAGUAAUACAUCGGAACGUGCCUAGUAGUGGGGGAUAACUACUCGAAAGAGUAGCUAAUACCGCAUGAGAUCUACGGAUGAAAGCAGGGGACCUUCGGGCCUUGUGCUACUAGAGCGGCUGAUGGCAGAUUAGGUAGUUGGUGGGGUAAAAGCUUACCAAGCCUGCGAUCUGUAGCUGGUCUGAGAGGACGACCAGCCACACUGGGACUGAGACACGGCCCAGACUCCUACGGGAGGCGGCAGUGGGGAAUUUUGGACAAUGGGCGAAAGCCUGAUCCAGCAAUGCCGCGUGCAGGAUGAAGGCCCUCGGGUUGUAAACUGCUUUUGUACGGAACGAAAAGCCUGGGGCUAAUAUCCCCGGGUCAUGACGGUACCGUAAGAAUAAGCACCGGCUAACUACGUGCCAGCAGCCGCGGUAAUACGUAGGGUGCAAGCGUUAAUCGGAAUUACUGGGCGUAAAGCGUGCGCAGGCGGUUUUGUAAGACAGUGGUGAAAUCCCCGGGCUCAACCUGGGAACUGCCAUUGUGACUGCAAGGCUAGAGUGCGGCAGAGGGGGAUGGAAUUCCGCGUGUAGCAGUGAAAUGCGUAGAUAUGCGGAGGAACACCGAUGGCGAAGGC
This 656-nucleotide ribosomal RNA is filed under the name uncultured beta proteobacterium. Its description in RNAcentral is "bacterial SSU rRNA". It matches the Rfam family "Bacterial small subunit ribosomal RNA", at positions 69 to 722 of the family's 1533-position model. The record is from RNAcentral. Lineage: Bacteria; Pseudomonadati; Pseudomonadota; Betaproteobacteria.